RNAcentral lists this ribosomal RNA (370 nucleotides) under Streptomyces sp. Its description in RNAcentral is "bacterial SSU rRNA". It matches the Rfam family "Bacterial small subunit ribosomal RNA", at positions 60 to 436 of the family's 1533-position model. Lineage: Bacteria; Bacillati; Actinomycetota; Actinomycetes; Kitasatosporales; Streptomycetaceae. The record is from RNAcentral.
AGUCGACGAUGAGCCCUUCGGGGUGGAUUAGUGGCGAACGGGUGAGUAACACGUGGGCAAUCUGCCCUUCACUCUGGGACAAGCCCUGGAAACGGGGUCUAAUACCGGAUAACACUUCUUCGGGCAUCUGAAGAGGUUAAAAGCUCCGGCGGUGAAGGAUGAGCCCGCGGCCUAUCAGCUUGUUGGUGGGGUAAUGGCCUACCAAGGCGACGACGGGUAGCCGGCCUGAGAGGGCGACCGGCCACACUGGGACUGAGACACGGCCCAGACUCCUACGGGAGGCAGCAGUGGGGAAUAUUGCACAAUGGGCGAAAGCCUGAUGCANCGACGCCGCGUGAGGGAUGACGGCCUUCUGGUUGUAAACCUCUUU